This 336-nucleotide ribosomal RNA is filed under the name Triticum aestivum (bread wheat). Its description in RNAcentral is "partial small subunit ribosomal RNA". The record is from RNAcentral. Lineage: Eukaryota; Viridiplantae; Streptophyta; Magnoliopsida; Poales; Poaceae.
AUGGCGGCGGAGGGAGCGGAGCUUGGUUCCCCGGCGCCGGCGCAGCCGCCGGCACCGAAGCGGCGGAAGAUCGAACCGUCUCGGAGGAGCAGACCUCCUUCUCAAACUGCUAUUGAUAAGGACAAAGUGGUGGCAUCAUCCAAUUCAUCGGUUUCAGGUACACCGCUAGCAAGAGUGGAUCUCAACAAAGUUAGAGAGGCAAAGAGAUUUGCUGUCCUUCAAGCACAGCACGAGGGAUGCCUGGGAAGCUUCAAAAGCUUUGAUUCUCUGUUUGGAAAUUAUAUUGUUCCUGUUACCCCAAGUGAUGACUUCUUCGAGCAAAUUGCAAAGAAGUGA